RNAcentral lists this unclassified non-coding RNA (221 nucleotides) under soil metagenome. RNAcentral's name for it is "partial contains 5.8S ribosomal RNA, internal transcribed spacer 2, and large subunit ribosomal RNA". The record is from RNAcentral.
AACGCACGAGACCUGCGGACCUGCGGAGGGAUCAUUACAGAGUUGCAAAACUCCCUAACCCUUGUGAACAUACCUGUACGUCGUUGCUUCGGCGGGUAGCCCCUUUACGGGGCCUCGACCUCCCAGCGAGGUUGCCCGCCGGAGGACCACACAAAACUCUUGAAUUAAUGGCUUCUCUGAGUAUUAAUCAAAUAAGUUAAAACUUUCAACAACGGAUCUCU